RNAcentral lists this ribosomal RNA (345 nucleotides) under Triticum aestivum (bread wheat). RNAcentral's name for it is "partial small subunit ribosomal RNA". The record is from RNAcentral. Lineage: Eukaryota; Viridiplantae; Streptophyta; Magnoliopsida; Poales; Poaceae.
AUGGGGAAGAAGACUGCUGCGAAGAGACCCCGAGGACGGAAGAUAGCAGAACCACCGAUGCAUCCUUUGGAAGAGUCGCGCAUCAAAAUAUGCAUAAGGAACAAUUCAGUGCUGCAAUCACUCGGAAUUCCUGCACUAUCAACACUGUUUGCAGCCAAAACUGUCAUUUCACCUGGAAAAAAAAUAAAGCAUAGUUCUGAUGAUUCUGAAGCUGAGUACUAUCCUAACGAGGACAAUACCAGUGAAGGAGAAUCGUCCGAUGAUAGUUUAGUAGAUGAAAUAGAAGCACUGCAGUCCACACCUGCUGCUAGCUCAAACUCUAAGGUUCUAAAUUCCUCCAUCUAG